AGCCGUAACUAGCGUCUUCUUCUUCAGCGCCUGGUAUCUGAAAAGAAAAUUAUGUGUUAUCUGUCAGCAUCAAUGGCGUCUCAAGUAAUUGGAUUACUGAAAUCGAGUUGCGGAAUCUCUUUGUUUGCCUCCAAUCACGUCUUAUAGACUUCUCCUCUAAUAAUCCGUUCCGAGUUAUUCACCAUCGCAUUUAUCACCUUAAUAACUCCAUAGGCGAUGUGAACCACGAUCUGAAUUUAAUUGUGAGUUAUACCUCUGAACUACACCUAUAAAAAGGCUGGCCGAGGCUCCUCCACCGUCCAAGUGCCGUUGCUCAGAUUCUGGAAAGCCAGAAAUGUCCGAGUGGAGGGGAACUGAUGUCUCUUGAUAUGCUUUUACUGGAUUCAAAGAAUGGUUUCUUUCUAAAUGUGUUUCAGGUGACCAUUAUGCAAGCAUCCGUGAGCGUGAGCUGGCUAGCAACUUACAGGCCUUAUCUCCGGCCGGUUCAAUGUAUUAUGUCACCAGUUUUGAUGUAACUCGGUGUAAUCAAAACUUCAGGCUCUUGGACUCCUCUCUGCUGAUUCGAUUCAGUGACGCUACCGCUCUUGAGAGUUAACUGAACCAUCUUCUCCAAUACCUAAAGAAUGUUUCAGGUGCCGUAAUCACAGUGAGAUGCUUGGUCUAGCCAACACCAAUACCCAACGUCUAGGUAUUCCUCCUAUAAUUUGUUCAUCAGUAUAGCUGGAUAAGAUAUUAUAUUAAUCCUCAAAUAUUAUUGGUGAAAUAACCGCUGUUAAGAGAAAGUUCUAUUUCGCUUGAAUGGCUAACUCAUCUAUAUUACUCGCUGAAGGCUGGCAAGAGAUGGGUUCUUCUUCUGUUUUGGACAGGAAAAUCUGAGGAUUAGAGGUGCUCGAAACCAAAGGGUAUCUCCUCAUCAUUCUCUUCCUGACUAUGUACCUUUGCCGGAGAUGGGUUCUUCUUCUCUUUCGGAGAGUAAAAUCUGAGGAUUCAAAAGUGUUAAAGCUUUGGAGACUCCGGGAGUAAGUAAGGAACUCCAUCGGCUCGAGAGGCAUCUCCAAUGGACGGUAAACAAGGUAUGUCUUGCAUGUCGGAACCAUGGCUCUUUCCAUUUUAGACAGAGAUGAAGGAAGUGAGAGAGAAAGUGGAGGUCAAGAAAGAGAAAUAUAGUAUUGGGAGGAGACUUUUGGUAAUGUGUUCGAUUUUGGCCUUAAUGGAGGUCUUCUUUCAAGAGCACGUUUUGGGUUCAUGUUUGUUGCCAUGCAUGCUGUUACUGGUUCUUAUGCGAGACAAAAUUUUGUCGAUUAUCUUGGAGCCAAACCAGAUUCAAUUUUCAAUGGAGUUCCUCUAGAAGACUUUGGACAUGCGUCACAUGGCCAUCCAGAUCCUAAUUUGAUGUAAGAAAAAAACUAAAGGGAAGACUCACCAUAUAUACUUAGUAUAUAAUUUUAUAAACCUUCUUAUAUAUAGAUACACAAAUUGCCAGUGUAUAGAACGUCAAGUCAAGAACAAUUGCAUGUCUUUUCUUUCUUUUUUUUUUCAACAAGAACAAUUGCCUGUCUAUCUUAGCAAUGGGGGAGUCAAAAGCAUGGAGCUCUUUUGCAGCUAUAGUUUGCUUCACAAGAAUAAAUUUCAUAUUCUAUGUUGGGUGUAAGGUUCUCUUUUUAGAUACAAGAUUUUAGUUUAACAAAAAACAAGUUACACAUGGUGUACAAAAGCAUUUUUCUUGAAUAAAUUUUGCAUAUUAUUCAAAAAAAAAAUAGAUAUGCAAAUUGGUUGAUGUCCUGUAUCGUAGCGACGGACCUAAUUUCUGAGCUGCAAGUGAUGGUAUGUUUGUGAAUAGAUAUCUUACAAAUUUUCUUGGUUUUUUAGCUUUAAGACACAUCUCUCAUAAAUUUAGUCACCAUAAUUGUGCAUUUUCUGAAAGAUGAUGGUGAAACAAAUGGUUUUAGGAAACAAAUUCUUUGUAUAACUCCUUCAGAAUAUGUUGCUACCAUGGCAGCCAAUGCACAAGAAACGUUUCCAUAUUUUCGUUCUGGUCCUAAGGUGGGAUUGCCUUGCAUAUUAUGUACAUGUAUAUAUAUUGACGCUUAAAUUUAAAUUGCAUAAAGUUGAAUCUUUCUUUCUUCGGGGUCAAUCAAUUUCAUCAAACAAUGUAUAUACCUGCUUUACAACCAAACUAACCAAACUAAUGUUUACGUAAGUAUAGAUGUAUGUAUCACAUUUUAAAUAAAUAUAUAUAUGUAUAUAUUUGACCAAAAAAAGAAAAGAAAUAUAUAUAUAUAUAUAAGUAUCAGUGCAUUCAUCUAUGUUUAUAUAUAAUAUAUAUGAUAUCUAAUAAGAAUAAACAUCAAUACAAUACUAAAAGGUGAAUAUAAGCUAAGGGGAAUGUGUCCACGUAAGAAAAAAUAAUCAGCCAAUAGCAAACCAGCAUUUCACCACAUCAGAUCAAGAAAUUGGGUAUUCUUGGGCUCUUUUAUUUUUGUAUUUGUUUUGUUCGAAACAAAUUAAGUCUCAGCCCAUAUCAUGCUUUAUCUCUCGCGUGAAUCUCUCUCUCUCUCCGUUUCAUCUUCCGGCGAUCAAACAUGGUGGCAAAAAAAACGGUCACGCCUUCUACACAAAACCAAUCCAGUUCAAAGACAUACCAAACGCCACCGUCUCUUCCGUCUCCACCACCUUCGUCUUCGCCAUAUACUCCCAGAUCCCCACUCUAAGCGGCCAUGGAAUCGUCUUCGUCGUCUCUCCAUCCCAUAGCCUCACUUCCGCACUCCCAAUCAAGUCAAUACAUCGGUCUCUUCAACAACUCAAACAACGGUAACGAAACGAACCACGUCUUCACUGUCGAGUUCGACACGAUCCAAAGCAACGAGUUCGGAGAUCCGAACGAUAACCACGACGGAAUCGAUAUAAACGGUUUAAGAUCGUUUGAGUACUCAGCCGCUGAGUACUGGAACGAGAGAGAUGCAAGGUUUUGGUGUUGGACACAUGCGUGAUACCAAAACAAAAGAGAUAGAGCUUGACGGUGUAAAAACUUCCAUUAUAUUACCCCGACACUGAAGGAUUCGAAAGCGUUGGAAAGUCUACUGUUUAUGACGACUCUUUGAACAUUUAGACAUUUUGUUUGAUGAUGCUUUGGAUAUCUAAUCAACUGUUUUUGCUGAUUUUUUUUCAGAAUAUUUGCUCGAGCAACGGUGAUGACUUCAGUGCUGAUUAAUAAUCUGCCUGAAACUGUAAGUUGACCUGCCUCGGUCUUUUUCUUAUGGUUCUAAAAACAGUAUACUUAUGACCCAAGAAUGUAGAACCUGGUAUCCAAUGAUCUAUAUGUACUUCAUCAGAGUAUGUAUCCGACUUAUGAAUAAACAUAAUUUAGCUAUUUAUUUUGUCUUAUUUAUCUUCCCUGCAGCUAAUUGUGGCUUUGAGAAUUCAUUUUCUAUUUUAAAUGCUUUUUAAACUAGUGUUUGAUGAUUAUCUGUCUCACAUUGUU
Molecule: RNA transcript, 3481 nt
Organism: Brassica napus (rape)
Lineage: Eukaryota; Viridiplantae; Streptophyta; Magnoliopsida; Brassicales; Brassicaceae
Gene name: L-type lectin-domain containing receptor kinase IV.2-like
Exons: 8
Source: RefSeq, a predicted model, not a curated record